GAAGGUUCACAGGUGACGUGCCCCGGAACCAGGCCCCCUCCUCUCUGGUUCCGGGUGCAUUACCCAAGAACCACA
This is a non-coding RNA of Myotis lucifugus (little brown bat), 75 nucleotides long. The record is from Rfam. Lineage: Eukaryota; Metazoa; Chordata; Mammalia; Chiroptera; Vespertilionidae.